This 253-nucleotide ribosomal RNA is filed under the name uncultured bacterium. RNAcentral describes it as "partial 16S ribosomal RNA". It matches the Rfam family "Bacterial small subunit ribosomal RNA", at positions 524 to 776 of the family's 1533-position model. The record is from RNAcentral.
GACAGAGGUGCCGAGCGUUAGGCGGAAUCACUGGGCUUAAAGCGUGUGUAGGCGGGUCGUUAAGUGUCUUGUGAAAUCCCACCGCUCAACGGUGGAACCGCUGGGCAUACUGGCGAUCUUGAGCAGUCCAGGGGCGAGCGGAACAAGCGGUGGAGCGGUGAAAUGCGUAGAUAUCAGGAGGAACACCGGUGGUGCAGACGGCUCUCUGGACCGUAACUGACGCUGAGACACGAAAGCGUGGGUAGCAAACAGG